Molecule: long non-coding RNA, 3153 nt
Organism: Arachis stenosperma
Lineage: Eukaryota; Viridiplantae; Streptophyta; Magnoliopsida; Fabales; Fabaceae
Exons: 11
Source: RefSeq, a predicted model, not a curated record
ACAGGUUUUGAGCGGGUUCUUUCUCAAAAUAGAUCAGAAUUUGAACAAAAAAUCAGAUUAUUUGAAAUCAGAGUAUUUGAGCCAACAAAUUUUGAAUUCUCUGCAUCUCUCUUUCUCUUAUUUCUUUCUCGCUCUCUCUCACACCGGCAAGAUAGAAGGAGCUCACGGUGAUGGAAGGAGUAGCUGGAAGAGAAGAUAGAGAAUGGUGGUGGUCGGGAAAAGACUUCCUCCGGCGACGUUGUAGGGAAAAGAGGGUUAAGGGUGAGAGAAAGACAGAACGAAGCAAAAGAAGAAGGAGAAGAAGGUGGCGACGAACCGGCGUCCACUGUAGAACCGCGUCCACCGCAGAACAGCAUUUCGCAACCGAAGGUAGGUGCUGCAAAUGUGAUGAACCAGUUCAUUAGUUGUUGUACGUCGGGGAUUUGGACCUUGAGGUUGACCGACAAUAGGCACCUCUACGAUUUGUUCAUCCAAGUCCCGGCAAGUGGUUUCGGUUCAACCAGAAAUGAGUUUGCCUCCCUCAUCAACUAUGAAGAUGUUGGUUCCAACUAAUGCCGUUAGCAAAGUGCUAGGUAGAGGAGAGGCAAAUAUAGCUAAUAUCAGGAAGAAUAUAAUUAAAAAUGCAAAAUAAGAACUGUGCGCUUGAUGAGCUGGGCAAAAGGACACUACACGGAACGUGAUGAGUUGAUGUAUUCAGUGCUUGAUGUGGUGACGAAGGAAGCUGAGAAUUGUGAUUGCCUUCGUUGUGCAUGAUAUUCUUUUUGGUCAAGUGAGGUGGUUUUUGAGUUCUCUUUGAUAUUUCAAUUCACUUUUUACUAUUUAUUCAUGGUUGGUUUGUUUUUAUUAUGAUGUAAUUAAUAUUUUGUUUUCUGUUGUUCGUUAUUUCUUUAUCAAUUAUAUCACAUAUAUAUAUAUGCAUAUUAAGUGCUUAAUUGUAUUCUAAAACCAAGAAGAAUAAGAAGAAAGAAAUGGAGAUAUUCCUUAGAGGAUGCACGCCACCUCACACAUCACUAUGAGAAACUUUGUCAAGAAAUAGAAGCCCAGGCUGCUGAAGUUUUCAGGCAUCAAUCAAAGUUGAACGAUACUGAAGUAUCUGUAGACAAUUCCAUGAGGCUUCAAACCAUAUAAACAAGGUUGAAAGAGCUUAAAUCUGCCUUGACGGCACUUGGUAGGGAAGCAAUCACUGCUAUUUUAUCAGUUGAAAAGAACAAAAGCAAGAAAUAACUAGCCAGAGCCUUUAUACAAUGGAUGGGACCAGCAUCUAUUGAAUUGAGUUUCAUCCAUACUGAUUGAGCAAUUUCAAAAAUCCAUUCCCCAUCUAAGGAAGCUUCCUACUGAUAUUUUGAGCAAAUCCAAAAACAACCACUGCCUAGAUAAGCAAUGAACAAACCACUACGGCUGCAAUGCUUUCCUUCAUUCAAACUUCAAUUUCGUGGGAAGGAAUUCCAAUGCAGCUUGCUCAUGACGGCUUGAGAGUCCUCAUAAACUUAUAAGAAUAGGAAAAGUGUACUGGAUGGAGUGAGGGCAGUAAUUUCAGUAAAGAAAAUCCUAUUAGUGGAGAGAACAUUGGAGAAUAGACAUUAUUUGGCAUUGAACCUUUGUUUGUUGAAGAGAUUGCUUUUGUGGUUGCAAAUAGUCAGAUGUUUUUAAGUUCCUCCAUUUCUUUAUCCAGAACAUAUUGGUGAUGCAUUGAGUGGCGGUAGAUCGUAAGAUUAUUUUUAAAGAGGUACUAUUCAAGGCAAGAUUAUUUUUAAAGAUGUACUAUUCAAGUUUUCUGAUCUAUGAAUGUUGAAAGGGUUAGAUUAAUUUCAUUAUCAUCUCCAUUUAAAGUUAGAUGUAUCCUAAAGAUAAUUGCAUUACAAUUUACUCUUCAAAAUGAGGAUCACAAAGUGAUACUCCCCGUACUCUCAAAAGAAAACAUCUAAGAGAGACACUUACCUUAAGGUAUUUCUUUUUUUAUUUCAUAUGUACUGCACCACUUCAGUUUAUAGCUGAAUCUUAAUUUAAAAGAAUUAAAAAAAACUCCCAACUAAGUAGUUCUUUUUUUUCCUUUAUACAUGUAUACAUAUGCAAUGAAUUAAUUACAUAUUGGUGUUUGCAAAGAAUCAGCUAUUAAUAGGUUUUUGCAAAGUCAUCAUAAAGCAUUCUAAUAAGCAAUAUAUUGGUGUUUCUUAAGGUCCUUUAAUACUUUACUUUAAUAAGCAUUCCAUGCUUUGUUCUAUCUGUGUGUAAUUCUAAAAUUAUUAUGAAAAGUUUGACUAAAGGAAACUCAUAUAUGUUCCUAUUGUUGAAUCUGAAAUUUUGAUUUUAUAGCUUCUUUUUUUUAGAUUUAUACAUGAUAGGGUUGUGGGAACUUCGUGAUAAUUUGGAGGAGGCUUUUAUCUUUGUUUGACCAAGUGAUUUGGUGUGUUUGUUGUUGUUUACAGUUUUUGUUGUUGGGUGCAGUCCCAUCUUCAAAAAUGUAUUUGACAAGUGUAUAGGCUAAUUAAUCAAUAAGUGUUCAGUUUAAAUGUAUGACAAGUGUCCAGUUUUGAUAUCAAAAUGUUCAGAUAACAUUCAUUGAGCGGUAAGUUUCAACCAAAAAAAUUUUGAAUUUCAAAUCUAUGGUUUAAAUAUCUCUUUUGCCCAUAUGACUGUUAUGUAGUUUUUGUUGACUGAUAUAAGAUAACUUUCUCGGCAAAAAGAACUCUUUGGCUACUGCACUAUGAGGAAGUUCCAAAAAAAUAGGUUGAAGACAAUCUUUUCUCAUUGGGGGUUGUCUCCAUGGUUCCUUUGAAAGAAAAAGAGAAUAUAUGUGGAUUUUGAGUCAAAGUGUGAAAAAAUUGUGGUCGCAAUAUAGGAGGAACUAGAAGGGCAAAGGUAAAUGACAAACAUGUCACGACAUGUAAGAAUAUGUUUUAUAUAGUUCUGUUUUGUAAUAGCAUUACAGCAGUGUUCUACAACUGUAGUUUUUCUUUUGUAAUCUCAAUGCCAUAAUUUAUGACUUUAGAUUUUGGAUGUUUUAAAUGUGGUUUUGCAAAUCAUAUUGCCAAGCGAGUAGUAAUAGGUUUCUAAUGAAAUAACGUGCAAAAAUCACAAAACGCAGAUAACACCAAGUCUGUAGAUAUGAUUGUAUAUUCUUAUUUAAUAUUUUAGUUCGGUAAUUAUGUUUAC